GGGCACUAGACACGCCGCCACCAUGACACAGAUAAAACUAAAGCACUUAUGUCGAACCCAACAGCAACACUUAUGGCACCAGUUUGGGCUUUGGCUAACCUGAUCAUUAUGAUUGCUUUGGCUAACCUGAUCAUUAUGAUUGGUGAGUUUGAGAGUUUUAUAUUUUAUUGUAUAAAUAUCUGGAAAGCUAAAGGUGUCAGUGAAUAUAUUAUUGGACUUGCUUUGUCUUAAUUGAUUAUUUUCCACGAUUGAAAAAGAAGCAUGAGGCUCAAUGUGUAAAGCACUCAAAAUAACAUAAAGCUCCCAGUAUUUGAUCAGUUUUGUUCUGUGAUUGAAUUGAUUCAGACUUUAUUCAUGUAUUUAUAGAUGGGUCACAGUCCCUCCAUCCCGUCCUGAGCGGCCCCACUAUGGCCUUCCUCAGCUCUAGAGUGGCCUUCCGGUGUGUAGCUCCCAACGCCCCGACUCCCGUCACAUAUGAACUGGUGAAAGACCAAAGUAUUCCAAUCGACACAGGCACCGAUCUCCAAGGAAACCAGCCUGCUUCCUUCUUCCUGCGGGUUGCAAUGACGUCAGGAGGGUCGUACCGCUGCAGGGCCCGGACUGAUGAGGGAGAAGGAGUCAGCAACACCAUCAGCCUAACUGUUGUCAUUCCCCUUCAGAAACCAGGAUCACCUCUGUGCCGUUCCCUCCGGUGGUAUAUGAGGGGUCUCGACUUGUCCUCUGCUGUAAUGUGUCCCGGGGCUCUCACCUGACCUACUCCUGGUUCUACAACAGGAGGAGCUGCUGCCGUCCGCCUCACCCCUGCUCCGGACUCAGGGGAGCAAUUUGGUGUUCGGGAGGGUCAAGCCUGAACACGCGGGGCGUUACUCUUGCAUGGCCUGGUCCAGUGUACAGGACAUCAAGAGGUUCUCCAGCAGCACAGAGGUCCAGCUCACAGUCAAAGGUAAACACUGUGGCUUAAAGUUGUAUAUUAAACAUGUUGGUAUUUCAAUGUACCUAUUUUAUGCACUCAAAGUCUUUAAAUAUUGUGCUGUAAAUUAUUACUCAUUGCUCCUGCAGUCUAUCUGUCCAAGCCGCAGAUCUCGUUCUCCAUCUCCAAAGAGGCCGAUGGUUUCAUGGGGAACAUCAGCUGCAGCGUGUCCCGGGGCAGCCCUCCCUUAAACUUCUGAAGGCAGCUUUGCGUAGUUUUGAAACUUGGAUACAAAGUUUAGACCCGACGUGACUCCCUCAGUCCUGCAGCUGCGUCUGCGCUGUCUCACCCUCGCUCCCUCUCCCUCACGCUACGCUAACCCAGCUGAACAGAAAGAGAAACUGCAGCCUCUGAGCUCGUUUUAAACUUUUAGAAACGGC
RNAcentral lists this long non-coding RNA (1350 nucleotides) under Neogobius melanostomus (round goby). RNAcentral's name for it is "lncRNA (ENSNMLG00000015908.1)". Lineage: Eukaryota; Metazoa; Chordata; Actinopteri; Gobiiformes; Gobiidae. The record is from RNAcentral.